GAUGAACGCUAGCGGCAGGCUUAAUACAUGCAAGUCGAGGGGCAGCACAGUGGAGCAAUACAUGGGCGGCGACCGGCAAACGGGUGCGGAACACGUACGCAACCUUCCUUUAAGUGGGGGAUAGCCCAGGGAAACUUGGAUUAAUACCCCGUAAUAUUAUGAAGUGGCAUCACUUUAUACUUAUAGCUCCGGCGCUUAAAGAUGGGCGUGCGACUGAUUAGGUAGUUGGCGGGGUAACGGCCCACCAAGCCUGCGAUCAGUAACUGGUGUGAGAGCACGACCAGUCACACGGGCACUGAGACACGGGCCCGACUCCUACGGGAGGCAGCAGUAAGGAAUAUUGGUCAAUGGACGCAAGUCUGAACCAGCCAUGCCGCGUGGAGGAUGAAGGUCCUCUGGAUUGUAAACUUCUUUUAUUUGGGAGGAAACCCACUGUUUCUACGGUGGUUGACGGUACCAGAUGAAUAAGCACCGGCUAACUCCGUGCCAGCCGCCGAAGUAA
Molecule: ribosomal RNA, 502 nt
Filed under: uncultured bacterium
Lineage: Bacteria
Description: partial 16S ribosomal RNA
Rfam family: Bacterial small subunit ribosomal RNA
Source: RNAcentral